RNAcentral lists this ribosomal RNA (376 nucleotides) under uncultured bacterium. RNAcentral's name for it is "bacterial SSU rRNA". It matches the Rfam family "Bacterial small subunit ribosomal RNA", at positions 524 to 898 of the family's 1533-position model. The record is from RNAcentral.
UACGUAGGGGGCGAGCGUUGUCCGGAAUUACUGGGCGUAAAGGGAGCGUAGGCGGUCGAUUAAGUUGGAUGUGAAAUACCCGGGCUUAACUUGGGGGGUGCAUCCAAUACUGGUUGACUAGAGUACAGGAGAGGAAAGCGGAAUUCCUAGUGUAGCGGUGAAAUGCAUAGAUAUUAGGAGGAACAUCGGUGGCGAAGGCGGCUUUCUGGACUGACACUGACGCUGAGGCUCGAAAGCGUGGGGAGCAAACAGGAUUAGAUACCCUGGUAGUCCACGCUGUAAACGAUGAAUACUAGGUGUAGGGGGUGUAAACUCCCCCUGUGCCGCAGCUAACGCAAUAAGUAUUCCGCCUGGGGAGUACGGCCGCAAGGUUGAA